Molecule: small RNA, 123 nt
Filed under: Marmota monax (woodchuck)
Lineage: Eukaryota; Metazoa; Chordata; Mammalia; Rodentia; Sciuridae
Source: RNAcentral
GCUGGGCAGUGGCUCAUGCCUGUAAUCCCAGCUUCCUGGGAGGCUGAGACAGGAGGAUUUUGAGUUCAAAGCCAGCCUCAACAAAGGUGAGGUGCUAGGCAUCUCAGUGAGACCCUGUCUCUA